This 887-nucleotide ribosomal RNA is filed under the name uncultured Bacillus sp. RNAcentral's name for it is "bacterial SSU rRNA". It matches the Rfam family "Bacterial small subunit ribosomal RNA", at positions 58 to 924 of the family's 1533-position model. The record is from RNAcentral. Lineage: Bacteria; Bacillati; Bacillota; Bacilli; Caryophanales; Bacillaceae.
CAAGUCGAGCGAAUCGAUGGGAGCUUGCUCCCUGAGAUUAGCGGCGGACGGGUGAGUAACACGUGGAUAACCUGCCUGUAAGAUUGGGAUAACUCCGGGAGACCGGAGCUAAUACCGGAUAAUAUUUUGAACCGCAUGGUUCGAAAUUGAAAGAUGGCGUCUAGCUAUCACUUACAGAUGGACCCGCGGCGCAUUAGCUAGUUGGUGAGGUAACGGCUCACCAAGGCAACGAUGCGUAGCCGACCUGAGAGGGUGAUCGGCCACACUGGGACUGAGACACGGCCCAGACUCCUACGGGAGGCAGCAGUAGGGAAUCUUCCGCAAUGGACGAAAGUCUGACGGAGCAACGCCGCGUGAACGAUGAAGGCCUUCGGGUCGUAAAGUUCUGUUGUUAGGGAAGAAUAAGUACCAGAGUAACUGCUGGUACCUUGACGGUACCUAACCAGAAAGCCACGGCUAACUACGUGCCAGCAGCCGCGGUAAUACGUAGGUGGCAAGCGUUGUCCGGAAUUAUUGGGCGUAAAGCGCGCGCAGGUGGUUUCUUAAGUCUGAUGUGAAAGCCCACGGCUCAACCGUGGAGGGUCAUUGGAAACUGGGGAACUUGAGUGCAGAAGAGGAAAGUGGAAUUCCAAGUGUAGCGGUGAAAUGCGUAGAGAUUUGGAGGAACACCAGUGGCGAAGGCGACUUUCUGGUCUGUAACUGACACUGAGGCGCGAAAGCGUGGGGAGCGAACAGGAUUAGAUACCCUGGUAGUCCACGCCGUAAACGAUGAGUGCUAAGUGUUAGAGGGUUUUCCGCCCUUUAGUGCUGCAGCUAACGCAUUAAGCACUCCGCCUGGGGGAGUACGGUCGCAAGACUGAAACUCAAAGGAAUUGACGGGGGCCCCC